GUUUUUCUCUUUCUUCUUCGUCACUUCUUUUCUGGUCAACUGAUCUGUUUCAUUUUCUUCAUCACUUCUAUUCUCGUCAAACUUGUAGUUUCUUUUUCUUCUUCUUCACCCAUCCAAAAACACAACUCAAAAGAAUCUGAAAUACUUCAGACAUACUUCUAAGAAGAAGAAGAUUUCUUAGGCUGUUCAACUAAUUACAUGGAUACUUCUAAGAAGAAGAAGAUUUCUUAGACAUACGUAUUGGUCUUCCCACCGUUUGCAGGCCAACUCAAGCUUGAAGCAUGAUGAUAUUUCCUUUCAAAAGGAAACUGGUUGCAUGUCUAAACAUCUCUUAUUCUAUUUUCAUCAUUAUUCCGCUCAAGAUAUUUAAUUGUUCAGGUGAAAAUUGACUUGAUACAGAUGCUUACCAAAAGAGAUUUAAAACAUAUGGUUUGCUGUAAAAAAGAAGGAAAAGCUUUUACAUUUGUGUGUCUUACCUGCUGAAAACAAUAUACGAAGCUUUCUACGAUUUCUUUGGAAUCCAUUAUAUUGGAUCAUUGGAGCUGCAGCUAUUGCUCAUACACCACAGGUUUGGCUAAUUUCUGUAGGAAUUAUUGCACUCAUCGUAAUCAAUUCGAUUAUUCGUUUAAUCGAAGAGAAUUACGCUGGAAAUGCUGCUACUUUAAUGGCUAGACUUUCUCCUGAUAAAGCUAAGGUCCUUCGUGAUAGAAUCUGGAACGAACUCAUUCCUGGAGAUAUAAUCAAGAUUAAGCUUGGUGAUAUAAUCCGUGCUGAUGUCCGUCUCCUCAAAGGAGGUCCUGUAAAGAUUUAUAAGGGCCCUCUUUAAUAGAUGCCGUGGUGAUUGCUACCGGAAGUCGUACGAAGUUUGGAGAACAUACACAUCCAGUAGAUACUACAAACCAAGAUGAUCAAUAUCAAAAGG
Papaver somniferum (opium poppy) is the source of this 922-nucleotide long non-coding RNA. RefSeq lists it as uncharacterized. The transcript has 4 exons. NCBI's taxonomy places the organism in Eukaryota, Viridiplantae, Streptophyta, Magnoliopsida, Ranunculales, Papaveraceae. The record is from RefSeq and is a predicted model, not a curated record.